Molecule: long non-coding RNA, 811 nt
Organism: Diachasma alloeum
Lineage: Eukaryota; Metazoa; Arthropoda; Insecta; Hymenoptera; Braconidae
Exons: 3
Source: RefSeq, a predicted model, not a curated record
UGAGGGUUCCCCAAGAUAGAGUAAUCACCGCAGUAUAUAACAACACUAAUAUUUAUUAUCAGAAGUAGAAAUAGUUAAUACAAAUUAAACUUUGGAAUGAGUGAUAUCGUAUGCUUCACGUGUGGUGUAAGCGUUAGGCGUAGAAUUGCUUUGGUAUCAAGGCUUGCUUCCGCGGGCGACGGGUUGCGCCUUCAGGUUGAUUGGCACGCUGCGCCGUGGCCGGAGUGGAAACUGCAGUGGGCGGAGUCGCCACAGUUGCGAUGGCGAAUAGCUGUAAAUAUUGUAAAUACCUACUGUAGAAAAUGAAUAGAAAACAUGGUUAAAACAAAAAAAUGGCCUGGUCGGUUAAUGUACGGGUCCAACAUUCCGGUUGAAUCCCAGACAUCUGAGAAGACUAGAUGUAUCUAUCUGUGAUUUGUGCAAUAAUUCAGUCACUGAAUAUGUUGCAUCACCAUGCAGACACUGGUUUGGUUGUCAAAAUUGUACACUGCUGUACGUUCAGACGUCUCUGGAGGUGAAUGCCUUUUUGAAGUGUCGGUGGUAUCCCCAGGAGUGUCGUGCAUUCAAACGUGUUUUUAUUACGUAAACAUCUCUUCGGGGAAGGGAAAUUCGGGAAGGCAUGUUCAGGAAAAAGUCUCAAGAAUAUCCAUGCAGUUAUCAUAAGUACUUCACGGUUCUCACUUAUCUUGUACUAUUUCUCCCUCAUUCAAUAAACGGAACAAACAUGUAUCUCAUUUGUUCGAUUGGUCAAAAACCCCAAUAGAUUGAAAAUUCCAAUAGAUUCUUAUUCAAUAACAAAAUAUACAAUCAA